UGGGGAAUAUUGCACAAUGGGCGAAAGCCUGAUGCAGCCAUGCCGCGUGUGUGAAGAAGGCUCUAGGGUUGUAAAGCACUUUCAGUGGGGAGGAAAAGUUUAAGAUUAAUACUCUUGAACCUUGACGUUACCUGCAGAAGAAGCACCGGCAAACUCCGUGCCAGCAGCCGCGGUAAUACGGAGGGUGCGAGCGUUAAUCGGAAUUACUGGGCGUAAAGCGCGCGUAGGUGGUUUGAUAAGCUAGCUGUGAAAGCCCCGGGCUCAACCUGGGAACUGCAGUUAGAACUGUCUGGCUAGAGUAUAGUAGAGGGUGGCGGAAUUUCCUGUGUAGCGGUGAAAUGCGUAGAUAUAGGAAGGAACAUCAGUGGCGAAGGCGGCCACCUGGACUAAUACUGACACUGAGGUGCGAAAGCGUGGGGAGCAAACAGG
RNAcentral lists this ribosomal RNA (429 nucleotides) under uncultured bacterium. RNAcentral describes it as "bacterial SSU rRNA". It matches the Rfam family "Bacterial small subunit ribosomal RNA", at positions 355 to 776 of the family's 1533-position model. The record is from RNAcentral.